UACGAAGGGGACUAGCGUUGUUCGGAUUUACUGGGCGUAAAGCGCGCGUAGGCGGAUCGCUAAGUCAGGGGUGAAAUCCCAGGGCUCAACCCUGGAACUGCCUUUGAUACUGACGAUCUGGAGAUCGGGAGAGGUUGGUGGAAUUCCGAGUGUAGAGGUGAAAUUCGUAGAUAUUCGGAGGAACACCAGAAGCGAAAGCGGCCAACUGGCCCGAUACUGACGCUGAGGCGCGAAAGCGUGGGGAGCAAACAGG
RNAcentral lists this ribosomal RNA (253 nucleotides) under uncultured bacterium. RNAcentral describes it as "partial 16S ribosomal RNA". It matches the Rfam family "Bacterial small subunit ribosomal RNA", at positions 524 to 776 of the family's 1533-position model. The record is from RNAcentral.